This 1628-nucleotide long non-coding RNA is filed under the name Equus asinus (donkey). RNAcentral's name for it is "lncRNA (ENSEASG00005034687.1)". The record is from RNAcentral. Lineage: Eukaryota; Metazoa; Chordata; Mammalia; Perissodactyla; Equidae.
CAAGCUAGGCCAUAAAACAAAUCUCAAUACAUUUAAAAUUAUAGAAAUAGUACAAAGUUUAUGUUCUUUGAACACAAUGGAAGACACUAGAAAUCAAUAACAGGAAAAAAAUUUAGGAAACUCACAAAUACGUGGAAAUUAAGCAAUGUACUUCUAAAUAACCAAACGGUCAAAGAAGAAACCAGGUUCCAAGAACUGCGCUCCUUCCUGGCCCUUUCAGCCUGUGGUGGUAAGGGCUCCAUUCUGUUGCUGAUUCAGGGACACUGAAACCAUCCCACAAUGGUCUCUGAAACCCUUUUAAAUAGUCCCUUAAUGAAGGUCUCCUCAGCCAUCCCUUGAGCAUGUUAUCUGCUUCCUUCUGGGAUCCUGAUGGACACACUUCCUGAUUCCCCAUUUUCACACAUACUUGCCAAAAUCUGGUGCCCUCUCUAUUUCCUAUCUCAGAAAAUCAUACCACCAUUCAUCUAGUUGCAAAACCCAGAAGUCUAGGUAUUGACACUUCCUUAAGUUAAUCACCUAAUCCCACUGAUUUUACUUCCUAAAUAGCUCUCGAACAUUUUCAUUUCAUUCCAUCUCCACUGCUAUUCUGGUCCAGAACACCAUCAACUCUUACUUGGAGCUCUAUGGCUGCCUCCCAUGGUAGAUUCUACUCCCUCUCUGUCCGCACUUUAAUAUGCUGUCCACAUGAUAGUGGCAGCUGGCUUUAAGAGAUCUGCUCCCUUCCUCUUCAACCCCCAAGCAGGAACUUCACAGUGGAGAGACCUGGCACACCCUAUCUUAACUAAGUGAUUAAAGUUAGUAUCACCAGUAAUGAAACAAAUUAGUAUUAUGUGCCAUCUGAAACAACACAUUGAGGAAUAGCUUCUGUGUUAUUCCUACCAAAAGUGUAUAACGUGAAUCUAAUCAUGAGGAACCCUCAGACAAAUCCAAACUGAGGAACAUUCUACAAAAUAACUGGCCUGCACUCUUCAAAAAUGUCAAGAUCAAUAAAGACAGAGAAACGUUAAGAAAGUGUUCCAGAUUAAAGAAGACUAAAGAGAGGAGAUGCAUGCUGAAGUAAUUAGCAGUAAUAGACAUGACGUCUGCAACUUAUCCUCAAAUGAUGCAUAAAAUGAUCUCUCAAGGCCAGCAGAUUCCCAAAAGGGCAGAAUAAGGAGCUGGGGGUAAAGAAGACGGAGUCACAUGCCAGAAGUCCUGAUACCCGGUGUCUGCAGAUCCACCCUUACCUAAAAGGAAAAUAAAAGUCAGGAGCCAACCUCGACCAGCAGAACCACAGAGAAUUUAGGGCAUGCUCAUCCCACAACCACUGCACUCAGAGGGGCUUUGCAGAGAUUCAGCCAGGCCUGUGACUCAGGGGUCAAGCCGUGAUAGCAAAUUCACAGCUGGGACACCUCCAUCUUUAACACCUGGGACUAAAACUGCCACUGGGACAAUAAAGGGGAAACAAGCCCUCUAGAGCCCUUCUGGCCAAGGGUGUGGAGAAUCCUCUUCUGCAGAUACCUGUGGAGGUGAUUCAAGGUGUGAUACUCCCAGCUUUGCCAUCCCCGACACAAGUCCCCAGGGGAAGGUCAUUUAAUUCCACAGCACCUGGGAGCUUAGAGAAGCUGCUGAGCUCUUUGUGCUCUGGG